Molecule: ribosomal RNA, 319 nt
Filed under: uncultured eukaryote
Lineage: Eukaryota
Description: partial 18S ribosomal RNA
Rfam family: Eukaryotic small subunit ribosomal RNA
Source: RNAcentral
CCCUUAGAUGUUCUGGGCCGCACGCGUGCUACACUGAACGGUUCAAUGGGUAAGGUAGUGCGAAAGCAUGACCUAAUCUCGAAAUCCGUUCGUGCUGGGGAUAGAAGCUUGCAAUUAUCCUUCUUGAACGAGGAAUACCUUGUAAGCGUGAGUCAUCAUCUCACGCUGAAUACGUCCCUGCCCUUUGUACACACCGCCCGUCGCACCUACCGAUUGAAUGUUUCGGUGAAGAUUCCGGAUAGGACUUUUUUGAUUUAUUUCAAUUUUGUCUUAAAAGCUAUCUAAACCUCAACAUUUAGAGGAAGGUGAAGUCGUAACA